Molecule: long non-coding RNA, 3057 nt
Organism: Cygnus olor (mute swan)
Lineage: Eukaryota; Metazoa; Chordata; Aves; Anseriformes; Anatidae
Exons: 4
Source: RefSeq, a predicted model, not a curated record
UUACACUUUCUCCGAGCAGAUUUAUUUAAGCAUGGUAGGAGAUGUCAAUUCAUACACUCAAAGCAAAUUAGUUUGCUGCCCACUUGUCCUUGUACCCAAAAGCUCCCCCAUUUUCAGGGUCAUUCUUACAGCAACUGCUCCUCUAACUCUAGAUACCUACCCACCAGGGAAAGGAGUCUCCUCUUGGGUCUCCAACUAUUGUCUGCUGUUUCUCAGGACGAAAGAACUCUCUCAGACAACAAAGCAGUUCAAACAGCACGCAAUAGAUUAACGCCGAACACGGAUGGCACAUUACAUAGCGCUCAAAGGAUCAAUACUGCCGUUGCUGAUCCAGUAGCCUUGCUGUGGUCUACAACAUGUAUGUGUGUCUAGAAUUACCGUACUGACCUUUGUACAGAAAAUAGUAUUUCAGAGUGAAAUAUUAUUGAAUUACAGCAUUCUGCAUUGAGUUUACAAGGUCAUAAACACAGAGCUCCGUGUUCUUCACUUGCAAAUGGCUACUAAAUAAGGAAAAUGAGACUUGACAUCCCCCUGACAAUCAGAAGAAAUGAUUUAUUUGGAUGCUAACAUCUGUCUCCAGAUUGUGGCCAAGUGCUUUUCUGUGCUCAUUUAGGACUCCACUUACAAAGCUUUUCAGUUACAUUUACCUAGAGAUUUCUCUCUACCACUUCCCAUCUGACAGAAAUCACUCAGCUGGGUCUGAUGAAUAAUAGCAAAAGGCAGCUUGUAUCAGAGAUGAUUGAAUUACAGAUUGUUGAAAGUGCCAUAAAGGCUCAUUCCAAUGACUACAUUUAAUUUACUUACUAUGCGGACUACUAGAAGCCGAUAGACAUUUGAUAUCUUUAUUUCAGAAGCCUCGAAACAAAAGAAACAUUAACAUUCUCCACCACUUCCUCACUACUCCACCUCGAAGAGUUUGAUAAGCCAAAUUAACUUUUAAACAGAGUGCUGAUGCCGUACCCAGAGCGGGCGAGCAUACAAGGCAGGGCACAAUACCCCAGAAACCAGAGCAAGGCGGGCAGCACACAGAAGGGGAGGGCAACAACGUCCGAGGAACCCCAGAUGAAAUCGCACGGAAAGAAAAAGAAUCGGCUUCAUAGCUAAUGUAUGCUAGAUGUCUUCUCUUCCACAUUUCUGCAACAAAAUGAGGAAGAUCAGAAGAAAAAAUGGGAAUUAAUCAUAAUUGUUGCUGAAAUAAGAAGAUGAUAACCAACAGCCCUCUUCAUUGAUGAAAACAGUAACAUUUUCCAUGGAUGGCUGUUACAGGAAAAAAAAAAACAAAACACCACACUCUGAAAAUACCUUUUGGGAUACAGAUUUGUUUUUUGAGAAUAGAUGAACAGAUACAUCUUUCUCAGCCUCCCCUUGGCUCCAGCCGUCUGACCAUCCUGGUGGCCCUCCACUGACUGGUCUGCUUUACUGUAGUGUUUCUUUAGCUAGAAGUUGUCAUUAGUUUAUUGUUUUGUCAUCAGCUUAUUUCACUGAUUGCUUGAUGUCAUAAAAAUGACGACACUGUAAGACCAUACAAUAUGAAGCAAAUUGUGAAAACAUCUAAGUAACACCACUUCACUGGAAGUGUUCUCUUUUCUGAUUUUUGUCACCUUUGGAGAACGUGAUGUGAUUCUAAAAUUCUAUUGGCAGAAAGACCUUUCCAGCUGCCAGUGGAGAGGAAACUCUAUUUUGGACACAUGCCUCAAGAUUUUUGUAUAUUCAAGGCUGGUAUUUUUUGACUUGUAAGGAAAAGUGACUGUGAAGUUUUAUAAUUUUGAAUGUUAUUUAACAAAGAUAUUAUGUAUCAUGUUCUCUACAGCUUACUUGCUGUAUAUUUGCUAUAUGACUAGGGCAUCAUCUGCAAGUAUUUAUUUUGUAAUUUGUAAACAUAGCUUCCUUUAAUGUUAAUCAUCAUCUGAGCUGUGCUGUCCAAGUUAAAUUUUCUCACACUUUUAAUAUUAGUUAUACAACUUUCUCCUGUAUAAAAAAAUUAUCAAGUAGACAAUGAUUUCAAAUGACAUGUCUUUUCAGUGGCAGGUAAAGUAAUUUCUCUUUACAGUUUAAGAGAGAAACUAGUUCCUUUAGUAGUAAAUGUUACAAUAUAUAAAAAUAAAGGUAUGUACAGAUACUGCUGGUUUAGCAGUCCCUUUGGGGUGUGAAUAUUCAUAGCUGCCUUAGUCACUCUCAAUUAUUUGCUUUUUCUGGCUAUAUUAUUCUGUCUUUAAGUUGUUCAUUUUCUCAAUUCAGAGGAAACACAUUUUUCUUUCCAGUUGCACUAAAUGGUUCUACUUAAACACUCUCCUCAACAGCACAGUCUAUACAAGCAGUAUAAUACAGCAAAGCCUCAUGAGGGAUGAACUACUGCUAUUUUUAUAGGAUGCAAACUGGAUUAAAAUUUGCAAAGAGUCCUGGUAUAAUCCUUACUUAUAAACUUUCAGGGUCUGCCAGAAGAAAAUGGCUUAUUACUGUAUUUCAAAGCUCUCACUUUAACAUAGUACACAGCCAAUAAGAAAUACUAAUUCCCCUAUGAAUCAUAAACAAGAAGCAAACUAUUCCAAAUGAAGCUACUGCAAUGCUUUGUGUUCCAGGUUUUAAAUUUAGCUCAAUCUUGGAACAAUACAAAAGAAUAAUCACUUUUAAGCUUUCGUGGUUAGCUUUUGCUAAAUGUAUAGGUUUCCACAGGAUUAAUUUUACAUUGGGAAGAAACUUUAAUCAGCAAUUACAUUCCUUAAUAUUGCUUUGCAAAUGUUUGUCUGAUUGAUUGUUUGAUGAAUUUUAAGCUUGCUUUUGUUCCAGUGACAAAGGAACCAUAACAAGAGGUGGUCAUCUUCACACUAACACUGAAUUCAGCCCUCCAGCUACCAUCUGGGGCUUGCUAGUGUAAAGUAUUUUGCCUCUUGUGAAUGUGGUCAGUUGGAGAGACUCUUCAUGGGUGGAAAUUGGAGUAUUUUGGGCAGAGGGAGCUGUCUGUUGGUUGUUGUUGAAGAGACAGGCACAGCUGUAGUUUCAUCUCAUUUAUAAUCUGUCUAGCAAAUGCAACCUCAUUUAUUUAUAACCCCUAAUGCA